AAGGCGCUAGUAAAACGGACGAUUACACUGCUUUGUCAGGGCAGAAUUGUGGGUUAAACCCCCGCGCGCCUUA
RNAcentral lists this transfer RNA (73 nucleotides) under Parargyrops edita. Its description in RNAcentral is "tRNA-Asp". It matches the Rfam family "tRNA". From Rfam's summary of the family: Transfer RNA (tRNA) molecules are approximately 80 nucleotides in length. Their secondary structure includes four short double-helical elements and three loops (D, anti-codon, and T loops). Further hydrogen bonds mediate the characteristic L-shaped molecular structure. tRNAs have two regions of fundamental functional importance: the anti-codon, which is responsible for specific mRNA codon recognition, and the 3' end, to which the tRNAs corresponding amino acid is attached (by aminoacyl-tRNA synthetases). tRNAs cope with the degeneracy of the genetic code in two manners: having more than one tRNA (with a specific anti-codon) for a particular amino acid; and 'wobble' base-pairing, i.e. permitting non-standard base-pairing at the 3rd anti-codon position. The record is from RNAcentral. Lineage: Eukaryota; Metazoa; Chordata; Actinopteri; Spariformes; Sparidae.